CGACACGCGCUGGCAACGUCCGGAUACCCCCGCCAUACGGCCCGGUCUGGGCCACCAAUAGCAGCAGCUGUUUCCCACACAACAAAGAAUGUUUAUACGUGGCAUUAUGGCACUUAAAUCGCGGCCACACGCAACGGACAGAGCCGCAUGCAUUCUACUACGAGAGAGCCCCGCUGCUGCCUGGCUGGAUCAUACUGGGACCUAACCCAAUUGCUUGAGUGUUGACGCUGCAGGAUGACCAAGGUGUGAUCCAUAACACCCACUGCAGGUCGCUGGUCGCUGGUCCUGCUUGCACGCGCCCGCUGCUAACCCCCUGCUCACCUCCAGCACGCCGUCACAUCCCUUGCGCGCAGCAUUGUCCACGGCAACAACCUCCUCAGAAGCGCGGGCCGCGAAACGCUGCGAGGCGAAGCCACGCUUGGCAUUCUGGGCGAAUGCCUCCAGCACGGGCGU
This 453-nucleotide long non-coding RNA is filed under the name Chlamydomonas reinhardtii. Its description in RNAcentral is "long non-coding RNA (CREI_LNC000566)". Lineage: Eukaryota; Viridiplantae; Chlorophyta; Chlorophyceae; Chlamydomonadales; Chlamydomonadaceae. The record is from RNAcentral.